UACGUAGGUGGCAAGCGUUGUCCGGAAUUACUGGGCGUAAAGGGCGUGUAGGCGGCUAUUUAAGUCAGACGUGAAAACCCUGGGCUUAACCCAGGAUCUGCGUUUGAAACUAGGUGGCUUGAGGACCGGAGAGGGCAGUGGAAUUCCCAGUGUAGCGGUGAAAUGCGUAGAUAUUGGGAGGAACACCAGUGGCGAAGGCGACUGCCUGGACGGCACCUGACGCUGAGGCGCGAAAGCUAGGGGAG
This 245-nucleotide ribosomal RNA is filed under the name uncultured bacterium. RNAcentral describes it as "partial 16S ribosomal RNA". It matches the Rfam family "Bacterial small subunit ribosomal RNA", at positions 524 to 768 of the family's 1533-position model. The record is from RNAcentral.